Long non-coding RNA from Rhipicephalus sanguineus (brown dog tick), 324 nucleotides. RefSeq lists it as uncharacterized. NCBI's taxonomy places the organism in Eukaryota, Metazoa, Arthropoda, Arachnida, Ixodida, Ixodidae. The record is from RefSeq and is a predicted model, not a curated record. The transcript is spliced from 3 exons.
UCGCCACAUGCGGUGUGUUAAGCAACUCGAGAAAGCUUUGCUAGGUGCAAGUGUUACUGCGAGGCAGUGCCGAAAAUACAAAGGCAGCGCCGAAAAACACAGCUGGUUGACAGCUCUGAAACAGCAGUCCUGCCUCUCUUCAAUAUCUGAAGAGCACAUUAUGCCAUCAAGACAAUGCUCACUGCUGAAACAACACCACACGUUAACAGCAAGCGGAAGAGUAAGGUAUCUGCAGUUCAAGCAGUGCAAAGGUGUUCCUUCUAGAUCGGAUGGAGCUUGGAAGUAUUUCAAGAGGUUGUAGCUCAGGUGCCCAUGAGCCAAAGG